RNAcentral lists this transfer RNA (75 nucleotides) under Lachnospiraceae bacterium. Its description in RNAcentral is "tRNA-Gly". It matches the Rfam family "tRNA". Rfam says of the family: Transfer RNA (tRNA) molecules are approximately 80 nucleotides in length. Their secondary structure includes four short double-helical elements and three loops (D, anti-codon, and T loops). RNAcentral also lists the same sequence under 1 other name. Lineage: Bacteria; Bacillati; Bacillota; Clostridia; Lachnospirales; Lachnospiraceae. The record is from RNAcentral.
GCGCCACUCGUACAGUGGUUAGUACACCAGUUUCCCAAACUGGAAACGUCAGUUCGAUUCUGAUGUGGCGCUCCA